RNAcentral lists this ribosomal RNA (253 nucleotides) under uncultured bacterium. Its description in RNAcentral is "partial 16S ribosomal RNA". It matches the Rfam family "Bacterial small subunit ribosomal RNA", at positions 524 to 776 of the family's 1533-position model. The record is from RNAcentral.
UACGUCGGGGGCAAGCGUUGUCCGGAUUUAUUGGGCGUAAAGAGCGUGUAGGCGGCUAUACAGGUCCGCUGUGAAAACUCGAGGCUCAACCUCGAGACGUCGGUGGAAACCGUAUGGCUAGAGUCCGGAAGAGGAGAGUGGAAUUCCUGGUGUAGCGGUGAAAUGCUUAGAUAUGACAUAGAACACCAAUUGCGAAGGCAGCUCGCUACACGAAUAUUGACUCUGAGGCACGAAAGCGUGGGGAUCAAACAGG